GCGACAGGCUUAACACAUGCAAGUCGAGGGGCAGCACAGGUAGCAAUACCGGGUGGCGACCGGCGCACGGGUGAGUAACGCGUAUGCAACUUACCUAUCAGAGGGGGAUAACCCGGCGAAAGUCGGACUAAUACCGCAUGAAGCAGGGGCCCCGCAUGGGGAUAUUUGCUAAAGAUUCAUCGCUGAUAGAUAGGCAUGCGUUCCAUUAGGCAGUUGGCGGGGUAACGGCCCACCAAACCGACGAUGGAUAGGGGUUCUGAGAGGAAGGUCCCCCACAUUGGUACUGAGACACGGACCAAACUCCUACGGGAGGCAGCAGUGAGGAAUAUUGGUCAAUGGCCGAGAGGCUGAACCAGCCAAGUCGCGUGAGGGAUGAAGGUUCUAUGGAUCGUAAACCUCUUUUAUAAGGGAAUAAAGUGCGGGACGUGUCCCGUUUUGUAUGUACCUUAUGAAUAAGGAUCGGCUAACUCCGUGCCAGCAGCCGCGGUAAUACGGAGGAUCCGAGCGUUAUCCGGAUUUAUUGGGUUUAAAGGGUGCGUAGGCGGCCUUUUAAGUCAGCGGUGAAAGUCUGUGGCUCAACCAUAGAAUUGCCGUUGAAACUGGGGGGCUUGAGUAUGUUUGAGGCAGGCGGAAUGCGUGGUGUAGCGGUGAAAUGCAUAGAUAUCACGCAGAACCCCGAUUGCGAAGGCAGCCUGCCAAGCCAUUACUGACGCUGAUGCACGAAAGCGUGGGGAUCAAACAGGAUUAGAUACCCUGGUAGUCCACGCAGUAAACGAUGAUCACUAGCUGUUUGCGAUACACUGUAAGCGGCACAGCGAAAGCGUUAAGUGAUCCACCUGGGGAGUACGCCGGCAACGAUGAAACUCAAAGGAAUUGACGGGGGCCCGCACAAGCGGAGGAACAUGUGGUUUAAUUCGAUGAUACGCGAGGAACCUUACCCGGGUUUGAACGCAUUCGGACCGAGGUGGAAACACCUUUUCUAGCAAUAGCCGUUUGCGAGGUGCUGCAUGGUUGUCGUCAGCUCGUGCCGUGAGGUGUCGGCUUAAGUGCCAUAACGAGCGCAACCCUUGCCACUAGUUACUAACAGGUAAAGCUGAGGACUCUGGUGGGACUGCCAGCGUAAGCUGCGAGGAAGGCGGGGAUGACGUCAAAUCAGCACGGCCCUUACAUCCGGGGCGACACACGUGUUACAAUGGCGUGGACAAAGGGAAGCCACCUGGCGACAGGGAGCGAAUCCCCAAACCACGUCUCAGUUCGGAUCGGAGUCUGCAACCCGACUCCGUGAAGCUGGAUUCGCUAGUAAUCGCGCAUCAGCCAUGGCGCGGUGAAUACGUUCCCGGGCCUUGUACACACCGCCCGUCAAGCCAUGGGAGCCGGGGGUACCUGAAGUCCGUAACCGCGAGGAUCGGCCUAGGGUAAAACUGGUGACUGG
This 1432-nucleotide ribosomal RNA is filed under the name uncultured organism. RNAcentral describes it as "16S ribosomal RNA". It matches the Rfam family "Bacterial small subunit ribosomal RNA". The record is from RNAcentral.